Molecule: ribosomal RNA, 126 nt
Filed under: Aleurodiscus aurantius
Lineage: Eukaryota; Fungi; Basidiomycota; Agaricomycetes; Russulales; Stereaceae
Description: 5.8S ribosomal RNA
Rfam family: 5.8S ribosomal RNA
About the family: 5.8S ribosomal RNA (5.8S rRNA) is a component of the large subunit of the eukaryotic ribosome.
Source: RNAcentral
UUUCAACAACGGAUCUCUUGGCUCUCGCAUCGAUGAAGAACGCAGCGAAAUGCGAUAAGUAAUGUGAAUUGCAGAAUUCAGUGAAUCAUCGAAUCUUUGAACGCACCUUGCGCCCUUUGGUAUUCC